GUCCGGGUGGCUCAGUGGUCAGAGCGCCGGCCGAAUAAGCAGGAGACCAGGGUUCGAAUCCCGGUCUGGCACA
Schistocerca americana (American grasshopper) is the source of this 73-nucleotide non-coding RNA. NCBI's taxonomy places the organism in Eukaryota, Metazoa, Arthropoda, Insecta, Orthoptera, Acrididae. The record is from the annotation of a RefSeq genome assembly.